AUGGACUCCCUUUGCUGGACUGCUCCUUCGCCCUUCCUGCCGCCUGCCUGCCUGCCAGCAGAUGACGCCGCGGAGGUCAGCACCUCGGAGACCAGCAAGGGUGCCAUUGACAAGCCAAUGCAGCAUCAGCAUCAGCAGCUGCAGCCCACGCUUGCCUACUACACCACCCAGGGCUCGCACGUCUCACCCAUGUUCUUUCAGAUGAUUUCCCAGCUCACCUUCUCCCAGGAGCAGCAGCCAAUGCGCUUGAGUGGGGGCUGCAGCUCUGGGACUUCAAGGAGGAAAGGAAGACAUAAUUUCUUCUUGGAGAGAUUCGUUGUUCUAACUGCACAGUCAUGUCAUCAUCUGCUAAUAUUUUCUUUUUGCCCUGGUUUCAUUCAGAUCCAGUGUUGCACCAACUACAAGGUCAUGAUCCAUUCAACGCGAGCAAAACCCAGAACGAGAGAAGAUCCACGGCGUCGAAGGUGUAGGCACCAUGAAGGCGGUUUUCAUUUUGUCGUUGUCAUCCUCUGUCUGACCUAUGUUGUUGCGAUCGGAAACCAACUGUUUUUUGAGCUGCAUUCUGUUGCUGUGGCUUCCCCUUGCUGCUACAUUUCUCGGUACGAAAACGAUGAAUUUUUCCGUUCCGGCGAGGACGAAUCCGGUUUUGCGCUUGCACGAAAUGGAUACCGGCGGCAUAAGGGUUCCUCACGUGCCCGGGCAUUUGCAGAUGUAUUUUUAUCGUUCAUCGAGGAGCACUUGAGCUCCGGAGCAGAUACUCCACGUCCGUCCGUCGUAACCGAUCAUUUUUGUGAAGAGAGGAGGCAUUCAUUCAUGGAUGAAUGA
RNAcentral lists this ribosomal RNA (825 nucleotides) under Triticum aestivum (bread wheat). RNAcentral's name for it is "partial small subunit ribosomal RNA". Lineage: Eukaryota; Viridiplantae; Streptophyta; Magnoliopsida; Poales; Poaceae. The record is from RNAcentral.